AGGUGCGAUCAUACCAGCACUAAUGCACCGGAUCCCAUCAGAACUCCGUAGUUAAGCGUGCUUAGGCGAGAGUAGUACUAGGAUGGGUGACCUCCUGGGAAGUCCUUGUGUUGCACCUC
This 119-nucleotide ribosomal RNA is filed under the name Trifolium pratense (red clover). Lineage: Eukaryota; Viridiplantae; Streptophyta; Magnoliopsida; Fabales; Fabaceae. The record is from RNAcentral.